This 498-nucleotide ribosomal RNA is filed under the name uncultured bacterium. RNAcentral's name for it is "partial 16S ribosomal RNA". It matches the Rfam family "Bacterial small subunit ribosomal RNA", at positions 30 to 523 of the family's 1533-position model. The record is from RNAcentral.
AUUGAACGCUGGCGGCAUGCCUUACACAUGCAAGUCGAACGGUAACAGGUCUUCGGAUGCUGACGAGUGGCGAACGGGUGAGUAAUACAUCGGAACGUGCCCAGUCGUGGGGGAUAACGAAGGGAAAGCUUUGCUAAUACCGCAUACGAUCUACGGAUGAAAGCGGGAGAUCGCAAGACCUCGCGCGAUUGGAGCGGCCGAUGGCAGAUUAGGUAGUUGGUGGGGUAAAGGCUUACCAAGCCUACGAUCUGUAGCUGGUCUGAGAGGACGACCAGCCACACUGGGACUGAGACACGGCCCAGACUCCUACGGGAGGCAGCAGUGGGGAAUUUUGGACAAUGGGCGCAAGCCUGAUCCAGCAAUGCCGCGUGCAGGAUGAAGGCCUUCGGGUUGUAAACUGCUUUUGUACGGAACGAAAAGCUCUGGGUUAAUACCCUGGGGUCAUGACAGUACCGUAAGAAUAAGCACCGGCUAACUACGUGCCAGCCGCCGCCGUAA